Nicotiana tabacum (common tobacco) is the source of this 683-nucleotide long non-coding RNA. RefSeq lists it as uncharacterized. The record is from RefSeq and is a predicted model, not a curated record. Lineage: Eukaryota; Viridiplantae; Streptophyta; Magnoliopsida; Solanales; Solanaceae.
CAAACAACCACUAGGCCCAUUUGAACUUUCAAGAAGAUUCUCCAACUCUUUUGUUCUCACAAUAUCCGACCACCUUCGAACUGCUGACAUUUCUCUUCUACUAAGGCGCAGGAUCAGUUUUUGGGACGAAAGAAUUUAAGAUUUUCUGGAUUUUGGUGAAAGGGUAAUAAAAAUUGAACCGAUGAUUCGAACGGAAACUUUAGUUCCUGCUCUAACCAAAUUCAAAACCAUAUUUCCAGCUGGAGGAAAAUUGGUUGGAACAAUGAUCCCUAAGAAGCAAGCAAAUGAUGAUGCCGGAGAAGCCCAAAUGAAGGCGGAGAACAUUGAACCCCUUGUUGCUUUUAGCAGGCCACCUCCAAUCCCUCCUUUCCUUGGACCUCUAGUUGCUCUUUCAUUGCUUGAAUCAUGGUCGAGACGAGAUAGCAAGGAUGAUUAACAGCUGACAUGGUUAAUGCCAUAUGCUUUCUUCUGCCUAUAGAAGUAAGAAACUUUUGAAGGUUUUAGAGUCUUGUUAAAUGUGAAGUCUAUCUUUGUCUACUAUCUUUAUGUAGGAAAAAUAAGUCGUUGAAAUGUUGUCCAGCUUCUUGAAUUGGCAAGCUGUGCAUAUCUUCUACUUGUGGAACAUCUCUAUAAUGUAAAGGAAUAACUUGUAGAUAAGUGUAAGAAUGGUGACUGUGAUACUC